Molecule: long non-coding RNA, 706 nt
Organism: Lemur catta (Ring-tailed lemur)
Lineage: Eukaryota; Metazoa; Chordata; Mammalia; Primates; Lemuridae
Exons: 3
Source: RefSeq, a predicted model, not a curated record
AUAUCACUGUGCCACUGUCUGCACACCAAUAAGUGUCACAGUUUAGUGAACCGUAGAUCCAGGAAACAGGACUCUGGACAGAGACGCCUACCACUGUGGAGCCCAGGGCCCUCCGAGACAAGGAUGAGACAAAACCUCACACGCUUUGAGGGACGCAGACGUGGAGGAGGAGGCCGGAGGCAGACACGCAUGAAAGAGCAGCACACACGGGAGCGGCUGAGGCCCCAGGGACCACGGGAACACCUGCACGAGGCCCCGGCGGGGAGGAGAGGCUGCGGGAUGCUGGAGGCUGAAACUCUGAUCACCAUAAAGCAGAUGGCUUAAAGCAAUAGAGAAGGAGUGGGACUAUUUUACAGCAUGAUUUAAAUCACUAAUAAGCCAAUUCCUACGUAAUGGAAGUCUGUAGAGCAUCAUCAUCUGUUUGUUUGGACUCCGGUCAAUUAACAUGCCAACACUGGUCUUAAAAAGAAAAAAAAAAAAAACACACACACACACACACACCAGAUGAUAGAAAUCAAAAGGAAUAAGAUUUAGACACAAAGACUGAUGGUCUGUGCAAUGAAAUGAAAACAGACCCAAGAGACAGAGGACUUGGGCUCAAGUCCUGACUCUAUUUGGUACUUGCUUCCUACCCUUGGACCUUGAUUAAGCCACUUAACCUCUCCAAUCCUGAGUUUCUUCACCUGCAAAAGGAAAUAAUAAUUGU